This is a long non-coding RNA of Phlebotomus papatasi, 2856 nucleotides long. RefSeq lists it as uncharacterized. NCBI's taxonomy places the organism in Eukaryota, Metazoa, Arthropoda, Insecta, Diptera, Psychodidae. The transcript has 3 exons. The record is from RefSeq and is a predicted model, not a curated record.
AUUUUGAUUUUGAAAGUAAUCACAAUAAUUUCAAAUAUUUGUGCAUUCAUACGGAGAAUAAAUAAUUUUUCUUUUAGCGUGAAUGUUUAAAUAUUUGAAAUAAAUACCUCAGCUUUUGAAUCAAAGAUAAUAUAUGUUAAAAAUAACAAUUAUACAUUGAAAAUGAAAAACUACACAUUUAUAUUAAAUGUGCAACGUUGUGUUGUCAAAAAUAAAAUUUUACUUUUGAUUUAAAAGUACUGUUUUAUGAAAUCAAAUGCAACAAGCAUUUAUUUAAUGGGUAAAAUUUAAUAUUGACAUUUUUGUUUACGUCUUAAUAUUAUCUGUAUUUAUUUCAAAUGAAAAAGACUUUUUAAACAAUUGUUUCAAAAUUUUAUUUCAAAUGAUUUUUUUUUCUAUCUAAACAUUAAAUGACCAGGUAUUAAAUUGAAUUGUGAGAAACUUUUCUGUAUAAAAUAUGCAUUUCAUUUAAAUGUAAAAAUGAAAUAACUUUGAGUAAAUAUUUGAUACGAAUGGUUUUUGUCGUUAAAUAUAAAUAACAGUGGUUUUUACAUUUACUGCAGUCGUCAUAAUUUGAAAAAUUAUUCAUUUAAAUUAGGGUGAAAAUUAAAUUCCUUUCAUCAUAAAUAUCAAUACGUUUUAAGUGAAUAACUACUUAUUCUAAUCGAAUACAAUAUGUAAAAAUAAUUACAUUUUAUUAUUUAAACUUAAACUUUAGCCAAAUGAAACAACAUGUCAUUUGCAACUAAUUUCACAUUUUCGUAAAAACCCUCUUUUUCUCAUAAGUUCGUAAAACUACAGCUAGGGGUGCUAUAAUUAAAAAGAAAACUUUCCAAUUUUCUAAGUUAAUUAGCUCCGGCUCUAUAGCACGGAUCGGGCUGAAAUUUUGGUAGAGGGAGCGGAUUGAGCUAAAAAUUCUUCAUGAAUCUCUCUUAAACAUGCCUAAGAAACUUACUUAUGUUAUAAAGAAUAAGGUAAAUACCAAUUAUUAAAGCAUUCUUAUUGAUUAGGUUUUUUAAAUUUUCAUUUUAAAAAAAUUGAAUGAAUUUCGCUCUAAAUCAUCCAAAAAUUUAAUAUUUGGCUGGCGUACACGCACGAACGCAAAUGCACGAGGGUCAGUGUAUUGUGUUCUUCAAAUGACGUGAUUUGCAUAAAAUAAAUAAUAUUACUUUCUAUAUGCAUUGAUUAUAACAAUUAAUAAUUUGAAUGAAAUUUAUAUUUAUUUAGAAUGAAAAACCAAUCAAAUCUAAUACUAUUUUUUGAAUCAAUAGCAUAAGUAUUUGAAAAAAAGGAAACUACAUUCAGAUCUAUGACUGAUUCCAUCAGUACGGAAAACAUUAAAACGAGUCAGUCUUGAAGAAGCCGCUGAGUUGAAAAGUUGUCACACAAAUUAUUUCCAAUCUAUUUGAAAAUGAAAAAAAAACUAAAAAAUGGUUACAGUGGAUAAGUAAACUUAUAAAGUUGCAAAAAUCAUCAAGUGAUCGACAAAGAAAUUUGAUAAAGUGUUGGAAAUCGUUAGAUUGGUUCAAUCGAUCAUCCUGAUUGCAAGUCAUUGUUGAUUGGAAACGUCCGUGAGCAGAAGCUGGAAAAUUAUCACCAUAUCUGUUUUAUCGAACUACUUUUCUUCAAAAAUUCCAUCUAGGAGAGACCUAAAUAGUAUCAAGGUAAGAAAAUUGAUUUUUUUUGUAAUGCAAUAAGAAUUACAUAAUUUGUGAAAGUUAGCAUUGAUCUUUACAAAGAAAUAUUGGACCUCGCAUAAUUUUUUUAUUAUAAAAAUGUUAAUUAUAUCAACUUAUUUAUGUUGAAUAUGUAUUUUCAAUUAUCGCUUUGGAAAAUAUCAUACUGGAAAAGUUUUUAAUUUCAUUUUUAUUUUUAUUCUUUCUUUUAUCAAUCGUGGUAACCGUUGAACCGUUCACUGGGAAAAGGACAAUCAUUGUCUUUUCCAUGGAAUUGGAAAAGUGAUUCGCAGAUAGCAGCAGAACUCAGAGCAAACAGUAAAGGACGUAAAUCUGCAAAACACAACUUAGAAAAGUGAGCGCUGUAAUAAAAGUAGACGAGGAGCACUACCACUGAUCAAAUUUCAUUAUGUCAUCGUUUAUCUUUACGGGGCAAAAGACAAUCAGUCUUUUGAAGUAUCUUAUUUCUUCUGAAACUGGUAAACACUAUUGGGAGAAAGCAGAAGAGCAUACAUCCAAAAGCUGAGAAGAAGACUUCACGAAACUACUAGAAAGUCGUGCAACACCCCAUAGAAAUUAAUGUAAUACAAUUUUAUUGUGAAUACACAUUAUUUAUGUCAAAUAAAUUUAUUUUUGAAAUCAUAGCAAGAGUUUUUUAAAUAUACCCUGGUACUGUUAUAUCUACCCGAGGAUAUUAUUUGAAUUAAUGUGGACGAAUAUCAAAGCAAACAUAUUUGCCAUUGAAUCUAUGGUAAAGAACAUUUAAAUAUACCAAGGAAAUUUUUAAUUUUACCCAUUGUGUAUUUAAAUUAAUGGUAACUCGUAGUUAAAACAAAUAUUUCUACUAUUGAAACUAUGGUAGUGUUACCCAGAAAUUUUUGAUUCUACCCAUGAAAGUGUUUAAAAUCCACUUUAGAAAUAAAGUGCAAAUGUAUUUGAUUUAAAAGACAUGUUUUCUUUUCAAAUACAGUGCCAUUCAAAAUAAAUACAAAUAUAUUUGUUGUGGCUAUGAUUACUGCCUUUCAGAUCAAAUGUAAAAAUAUUUGAAGUAAAAGUCGUCUGUAUUCAAAUCAAAUAAAACAUUAGAAACAAAUGUAUUCUACCAUUGGGGCCAAAAUACCCAUAAUUUCAUUUGAUUUUACCCAGAAAAACAUUAAUACUACCCAUAAAAUUUUUCUCG